Molecule: ribosomal RNA, 441 nt
Filed under: uncultured Sphingomonadaceae bacterium
Lineage: Bacteria; Pseudomonadati; Pseudomonadota; Alphaproteobacteria; Sphingomonadales; Sphingomonadaceae
Description: bacterial SSU rRNA
Rfam family: Bacterial small subunit ribosomal RNA
Source: RNAcentral
CCUACGGGUGGCUGCAGUAGGGAAUAUUGGACAAUGGGCGAAAGCCUGAUCCAGCAAUGCCGCGUGAGUGAUGAAGGCCUUAGGGUUGUAAAGCUCUUUUACCAGGGAUGAUAAUGACAGUACCUGGAGAAUAAGCUCCGGCUAACUCCGUGCCAGCAGCCGCGGUAAUACGGAGGGAGCUAGCGUUGUUCGGAAUUACUGGGCGUAAAGCGCGCGUAGGCGGCGAUUUAAGUCAGAGGUGAAAGCCCGGGGCUCAACCCCGGAAUAGCCUUUGAGACUGGAUUGCUAGAAUCCUGGAGAGGUGAGUGGAAUUCCGAGUGUAGAGGUGAAAUUCGUAGAUAUUCGGAAGAACACCAGUGGCGAAGGCGGCUCACUGGACAGGUAUUGACGCUGAGGUGCGAAAGCGUGGGGAGCAAACAGGAUUAGAUACCCGAGUAGUCC